This 253-nucleotide ribosomal RNA is filed under the name uncultured bacterium. RNAcentral describes it as "partial 16S ribosomal RNA". It matches the Rfam family "Bacterial small subunit ribosomal RNA", at positions 524 to 776 of the family's 1533-position model. The record is from RNAcentral.
UACGUAGGUUGCAAGCGUUGUCCGGAUUUACUGGGUGUAAAGGGCGUGUAGGCGGGAAAUUAAGUCAGAUGUGAAAGUCCAUGGCUCAACUGUGGGAGUGCAUCUGAAACUGAUUUUCUUGAGUACUGGAGAGGAAAGCGGAAUUCCAAAUGUAGCGGUGAAAUGCGUAGAGAUUUGGAGGAACACCAGUGGCGAAGGCGGCUUUCUGGACAGUAACUGACGCUGAGGCGCGAAAGCGUGAGGAGCAAACAGG